CAGAGAAAUAAAUGGUUAACUCCAUUUCUGGCUCAGAAGUCUUUUUCCCUACUCGUUCAGAAACCACAAUACUUACUAUAGUAAAGCUAUUUUGAUGAUAUGGGCUGUCGAAAAGUCACAAAGAACUAUGUGAAAGAAAGGCUUUUAUGAUCACAAUGAAAUAAGGUGCACAAAAUGGUUAAUCCAUGUGAUGUCUGCAACUGAUACACAUCUGGGAGUAGGAAGGAAGGAACCUGAAGACACCUGCUAUGACUACAAUGAACUGCACUUGCAGGCUGUUUGCUCUACUGGGCAACAUAACAGUUGGCUGGCAGGCUGGAAAUAGCUAGCCACAGCAUCUUUGUCAACAUCCAGCAGCAAUUAGUGAAAAGGAGUCAGUGCUGAAUGCUAGCAUCUCAGCUGCGGGAGAUCCAAUAGCUGCUUCAACUUCCAUUUUCUAUUCAUAUUUGCAUAGUGGCUUUGGCCAUAUUAGAACAAGGCAAACUUAUUUAUAGGGGAGAGAGUUAAGCAGAUUUCCUCAACACAUCUCUGCCUUGAACUUUGUCAAAGAUAUAACCUUUCCGUGCAUCCACACAGAAGCCUCCCUCGGACUAUCAUCAUCUCACCGUUAUUGUCACUUUUUUUUACUUUGCUCUUAAUCCUUUUGGCCCCACUCACCUCAAAUACAGCUGUAGUCAUCCAUUCUCACCUCAGUUCUAAGUGUGGUUCUACACCCAUCACUUUGAGCCUUUCACCCCUCUUCUCACUACCCCUUCUCUAUCGUACCAAGUGUACACUGAUUGUUUUUACUCUUGGGGGUCUUCACAGCCUAACUGCACUCUACCUACCACCUCUAGCUCACUAUCAGAAUAGUAAUGCUUGCUUCUUCAUGUCCCAGUUCUUUAAGAAGCAGCCUUAGAUGAGCCAGCAAUUGUGGUUGGCUCAUUGAACAUGUGUUUUGGAACAGAAGUAUUGCCGUUCCUCCUUCCCUAUACAAUUACAAAGAGGCAAGUGGCAUCUGGUCACAUCUUGUUUUGUUUUGUGCAUCUGGCCAGGAUGCUCCAAUAAGAAUAUGUCCCGGCAGAACUUCAGAUUGAUCACUGACAAUUAUGAGUUGCCUAAAAUGGAUCCAGCUGAUCCUGGUGCAUCAAAAAUAAACAAAUGGCACGCAGUCACAAAAAUAAUUUUUUGUACUCAUUUUGCAUUGGAGUCCAUUCAAAUGGGACACUGGCAGGAUAUCCAGUAAGCCGUGUUUCCUCUGGGAAAAAAACCCAACAGAUGUUACAUUUGGAAAACUUUAAAGUAUGCAUCAAAUCAGUGAUUCUCAACCAGGGUGCCAUGGCACCCUGGAAUCCUGUGACAUCCUUUUAAGGGCAGUGUACAAUAUGAGCACUGUUCAGUGUGCAAAAAACCUACACAGGAGUCACAAGAUAUACCAAAAGAUUUCAAAAAAGUAUCCAUAGUGUCAAAAAUAGUCUGACUUGCGUGGUUCUUCAGAGUUCUUUGCAACAGAAGAAUAGCUCUAUCAUUCUACCAGAGUCAAAAAACAAGUGAAAGCUAAGCUAAGAGCUGGCAUUUUCCAUGGGGUGCCUUGAAUCUAACAAGGUUGAGAACCAGUGAUCUUUCGCAUGAAUGCACUCAGAUCCAAGGCAAAUACCUGAUUUUUAUUCUUGAAAGGGGCAAGCAAACAGAGGAAGGAUAACUGGAAAGUUUGUUCAUUCUUAGAUAGGUGACAAAACUAUCUAUGAUGAUAUGAAGCACAAGAGGGUUUUGAUAGCUGUCUGUUUGGGAAUACCUGCAUAAUUCAUUCAUGAGAAUAAAACCCCUACCCACAUCAUCAUCUUCCAUCUAUGCAUUAGUUCUGGAUUCUCUCCAGUGCUCCCUUUAUGGAAUGGUAUAGAGAAAGUCGCCCCCUACUUCCAUGACCAUAUGGGAAAGUAGCUGUGGUUCUGCUGCACACAGGGAGAGAUGUCCCAGUCCCAGGUACCAGACCCACAAUCUCCAAAGGUGUCCAUGUACCUCUGUACAUGUGGGGGCCUGAAGGCAGGACAAUCAAAAUAUGAAUUGUCAGGCCCAGCAGUAGCCCAGCUUGAUGAAAUGUUAGGUUUGUAGUAGUGGUUGUAGCCAAAAUAGGUCUAAUGGUGCUCCUCAGCUAAGAAGCAGUAAUCCUUCUUCCUGACCCCAGCAGAGUCCCCUCUGCCAAACCUUAGGGUUGAUGCAGGGAACCACAAUUUUUCUCAGUAAAAAGAGUGAUAUCUUUGGUUUGGGUAGAGCAAUUUGUGACCUUGGUAAAUGCAGCUGUAAUCAAUUUUAUUUAAUGCUUUGACAUAAAUAAGAUUGUAAAAACAAGAUCAGAUAGCUAUAGAUGUGAUAGAAAUAAAUAUAACACAGCUCUGAAUUCAUCCCCACUGGUAUUACAAGGCCUCAGCAGCAGGAAGUUCAACCAGAGGUGAUCUGUGAUAGUACAAGAUGUCCAGCAUGCAUGCUUCCCAAGGGAACAGAACCAGUCAGCAUCGUCUAAAUGAGUAUUGCUGAGCACUGGUUGAGAAGGGAGAAACAGGCAAGAGGGCAAGAGGAUUAUGUCUGUUCAGCAUGUCACUUACUAUCAGUAGAAACUCUUUAUAUCAGUGGCUGGCCAUGGGCCAGAACCACCCAACUCUAACCCAUCAUCACUUACUCAGCUCCCUACUCCUCAGGUGGAACAUGAGUACAGCUUCCAGCUAGUAGAGAGCUGCACGAAGGCCAAGCAGCUAGAAGCUGUGUUCAUGCUGCAGCUACUUCUGCACUGCUGUUGGGAGACAUGAGAGGGACGCUGAAAAGCAGCAGCAGCAAGAGCACAGCUGGAAGUUGUCCAGCCCCAGUGUGGCUCCUUGCUGCUUAGCCCUGGCACAGGCACAAGCACAAGCAAAGCCCUUGGGCUCUGUGGGCCAGAGCCAGCCUACAAGCCAUACAUUGCCAGCCCCUGCUUUACACAAUUUAAGACUCCCCUGCCCCCAAACAGAGCAUCCAAAAGGAAGGAAUGUAUGGAGCAAGCACCUGUUCCAUCCUGAUGGUAAAUCCUUCUCAGCUACAGGUUGCAGUUCAUAGCUGCAGUAAAUUACAUCAUAAUACCUCAUCCUGGUAUAUUAUUUGACAUUAACUUCCAUUCGUGUAGCAGAGAUGUUACUGAUAAUAUUAUGGUCCUGAUUUCACAGACACUCCCAGGUGGACCCUUACUGUCAUGACUAGUUCAUUCAAAGAGCCUCGUUAGACCUUAUGCUGUAAGCUGAACAAAUGCUAAUCGGCUUAGUGUUGUUCAGGUUAGUGGAGCAGUCACACAUGUAACACCCACACGUGUGUGUGUGUGUGUGUGUGUUUGUGCAUGCGCGUGCGUGUGCGCACGCGUUUGUGUGUGUGGUCGGUCAAGAUGAUUUCUGUUCUUCUGGCUAUGUGCUCAACACAUGGCAAGCUGGGGCCUGUAUUUGGGCAAAAUAUGUAAAACCCUCAGGCUUCAUUGGCCAGAAGAAGCAGGGGAUUCUUCAGGCAGAUUGGUUGGGAGAAAGACUGGAGUGUGUCAUUCCCUGACUGGACAAGGCCAAGCUGAAGUCAUGCAGAGGGAUAUAAGGUGGAUGGGUUGGUUUGGGGAGGAGGAGAAGCUGCUAGGGGCUGCUGAAGUGUGAAGUCUUUUCCAAGGAAGAAAGAAUUUGCAGAUAGCAAAAAAGUAGAGGAAGGAGAGAGAGAGAGAAUUGCCCCAGUGCCUGGGAACUCCCCUGUCCUCCUUUUCUUCCCCUUUUUCUUUUGACAUUUUAAGGAAUUCAUACUAGGGAAAAGAGUAUUGGUUCCUUGGGCUGACUGGCCAGGAAUUAGGCCUAGCAGUUUUAAACAGGGUUGAAACCUGAAAGUUUCUAAUUCUACCAUGUUUGGGCUGGGGUUGAGGUUUGCAGCUUUCUGCUCCCAGUGGAGCUGUGGACCCAAACUACCUGCAGUUCAGGCCUGGCUUUCCCCUUUGUUUCUUUUGAUGGUUCAUCUCUCUAGUCAAGUAGUGUGGUUGGGUCAGCUGUAGCCAUUAAUCAACUUGGCUCCUUUUCAAGUUUGUCCUGCAGUUUCAUUUCAGCAGGCCAUAUAAUCCAGUUCAGAGGUUUUGGGGUGCAUACAUGCUGACUGGAGCUGCAAUCACUCCCCCCUUCUGCCCCCCAACACACAACCUCUCUGUGGGAGCAAAGAUCAGUAAUCUACCACUCCUCCAAGAGCAACAAAGUCCCCUGAAAUGCAGAAGGACCCAUGCUCUCAAGCAGCUCCUCACAGAGCAGUGAACCCAAGAAGCAGCUCGUGGGACUCUCCGAUGUGUCCCUCCCUUUCCAGCCCAUUACUGAAGGGAAGGUAUGGGGGUUCAGGCACCCAGAACUACCUAUUGGGGAGCCCAAACUGGUACCCAGACUGCUUAGGUAUGCAUGAAGUCCCCCAAAGAAGGUGCCACCUAUAUACUUUGCUUUGUAGUUAGUAGUGUUUUAAAAUUAUAUUUAAUGUUUUCUAUGUUUUGUUUUAUUCUCCAUAAUAAACGUGGUUGUUUGUGCUUA
Molecule: long non-coding RNA, 4535 nt
Organism: Alligator mississippiensis (American alligator)
Lineage: Eukaryota; Metazoa; Chordata; Crocodylia; Alligatoridae
Exons: 2
Source: RefSeq, a predicted model, not a curated record